AUUGAACGCUGGCGGCAGGCCUAACACAUGCAAGUCGAGCGGAUGAAGGGAGCUUGCUCCUGGAUUCAGCGGCGGACGGGUGAGUAAUGCCUAGGAAUCUGCCUGGUAGUGGGGGAUAACGUCCGGAAACGGGCGCUAAUACCGCAUACGUCCUGAGGGAGAAAGUGGGGGAUCUUCGGACCUCACGCUAUCAGAUGAGCCUAGGUCGGAUUAGCUAGUUGGUGGGGUAAAGGCCUACCAAGGCGACGAUCCGUAACUGAUCUGAGAGGAUGAUCAGUCACACUGGAACUGAGACACGGUCCAGACUCCUACGGGAAGCAGCAGUGGGGAAUAUUGGACAAUGGGCGAAAGCCUGAUCCAGCCAUGCCGCGUGUGUGAAGAAGGUCUUCGGAUUGUAAAGCACUGUAAGUUGGGAGGAAGGGCAGUAAGUGAAUACCUUGCUGUUUUGACGUUACCAACAGAAUAAGCACCGGCUAACUUCGUG
Molecule: ribosomal RNA, 484 nt
Filed under: uncultured bacterium
Lineage: Bacteria
Description: partial 16S ribosomal RNA
Rfam family: Bacterial small subunit ribosomal RNA
Source: RNAcentral